AACACAUGCAAGUCGAGCGAGAAGCCUUUUCAAGACUCUUCNGGAUGAUUUUAAAGGUGGAAAGCGGCGGACGGGUGAGUAACGCGUGGGCAACCUGCCUUAUACAGGGGGAUAACACCGGGAAACCGAUGCUAAUACCGCAUAACACAUAGAUAUCGCAUGGUAUUUAUGUCAAAGGAGAAAUCCGGUAUAAGAUGGGCCCGCGUCCAAUUAGCUAGUUGGUGGGGUAGAGGCCUACCAAGGCGACGAUUGGUAGCCGAACUGAGAGGUUGAUCGGCCACAUUGGGACUGAGACACGGCCCAGACUCCUACGGGAGGCAGCAGUGGGGAAUAUUGCGCAAUGGGGGGAACCCUGACGCAGCAACGCCGCGUGAAGGAUGAAGGUCUUCGGAUCGUAAACUUCUUUGAUUGGGGAAGAAGCAGUGACGGUACCCAAAGAACAAGCCACGGCUAACUACGUGCCAGCAGCCGCGGUAAUACGUAGGUGGCAAGCGUUGUCCGGAAUUACUGGGUGUAAAGGGCGUGUAGGCGGGGAUGCAAGUCAGAUGUGAAAAUCCGUGGCUCAACUGCGGAACUGCAUCUGAAACUGUAUCUCUUGAGUGCUGGAGAGGGAAGUGGAAUUCCUAGUGUAGCGGUGAAAUGCGUAGAGAUUAGGAAGAACACCAGUGGCGAAGGCGGCUUCCUGGACAGUAAACUGACGCUGAGGCGCGAAAGCGUGGGGAGCGAACAGGAUUAGAUACCCUGGUAGUCCACGCCGUAAACGAUGGAUACUAGGUGUAGGAGGUAUCGACCCCUUCUGUGCCGGAGUUAACACAAUAAGUAUCCCACCUGGGGA
Molecule: ribosomal RNA, 835 nt
Filed under: uncultured organism
Description: bacterial SSU rRNA
Rfam family: Bacterial small subunit ribosomal RNA
Source: RNAcentral